Molecule: ribosomal RNA, 239 nt
Filed under: uncultured bacterium
Lineage: Bacteria
Description: partial 16S ribosomal RNA
Rfam family: Bacterial small subunit ribosomal RNA
Source: RNAcentral
CGAGCGGCGGACGGGUGAGUAACGCGUAGGAAUCUGCCCAGUAGAGGGGGAUAGCCCGGGGAAACUCGGAUUAAUACCGCAUACGCCCUACGGGGGAAAGGCCGGGAUCUUCGGACCGGUCACUAUUGGAUGAGCCUGCGUGAGAUUAGCUUGUUGGUGGGGUAAAGGCCUACCAAGGCGACGAUCUCUAGCUGGUCUGAGAGGAUGAUCAGCCACACUGGAACUGAGACACGGUCCAG